This 488-nucleotide ribosomal RNA is filed under the name uncultured bacterium. RNAcentral's name for it is "bacterial SSU rRNA". It matches the Rfam family "Bacterial small subunit ribosomal RNA", at positions 28 to 498 of the family's 1533-position model. The record is from RNAcentral.
GACGAACGCUGGCGGCGUGCCUAAUACAUGCAAGUCGAGCGAAUCGAUGGGAGCUUGCUCCCUGAGAUUAGCGGCGGACGGGUGAGUAACACGUGGGUAACCUGCCUGUAAGAUUGGGAUAACUCCGGGAAACCGGAGCUAAUACCGGAUAACAUUUUGAACCGCAUGGUUCAAAAUUGAAAGAUGGCGUCUAGCUAUCACUUACAGAUGGACCCGCGGCGCAUUAGCUAGUUGGUGAGGUAACGGCUCACCAAGGCAACGAUGCGUAGCCGACCUGAGAGGGUGAUCGGCCACACUGGGACUGAGACACGGCCCAGACUCCUACGGGAGGCAGCAGUAGGGAAUCUUCCGCAAUGGACGAAAGUCUGACGGAGCAACGCCGCGUGAACGAUGAAGGCCUUCGGGUCGUAAAGUUCUGUUGUUAGGGAAGAACAAGUACCAGAGUAACUGCUGGUACCUUGACGGUACCUAACCAGAAAGCCACGGCU